Salvia hispanica is the source of this 1194-nucleotide long non-coding RNA. RefSeq lists it as uncharacterized. Lineage: Eukaryota; Viridiplantae; Streptophyta; Magnoliopsida; Lamiales; Lamiaceae. The record is from RefSeq and is a predicted model, not a curated record.
CAUUAAAAACAUGAAAUCAGAAAAAAGAAAAAAACACAUGGAGCCCUAAUUUUCAUCUCCUCCUCUUCCGCCGCCAACUUGAGAAAAAACACAAAAAUCUAAAAAUAAAUUCGCAGAUUUAUAAUAUUCCAUUCCCACAUCAGAUUUUUCUCAACUUGAGAUGGAGGAGGAAGUAGACCAAUCUAUUUCCUCAAGAAUUCAUUUUGGUGGAAUGAUUUUCGGAAAAUCAAAGAGGUUAACUUCUCGAGCAAUUACACAAUGGGCGGCAUUGGAAAAUCAAAGAGGCUCCCUCUCCUGCGUCAGCUACUACCAGGUAUGCUGAUUGUAUCAGCAAAAUGUGAAAGAAAAACAAGAAACCAACCUGCUUCCCUGAGGUCGUAUGGAAUGAAUAUUGUAAAGCAUGGAAUACGGCUAAUGCUAUAAAGGCUUCCAAAAGAUGUUCGAACAAUCGCAGACAGGGAAAAGAAGGCUCUUGGCACACAUGCUAAUGGCUGUGUUGCAUUUGAUGUGAUAGCUAAAAAAAUGGCUAAAGAGACCAAGGGAAAGCUCCCUCCAUUUCGGGACAUAUUUAUCAAGACUCAUAGGCUAAAGGAUUCACAUGAGAUUUGUUCACAAGAAGCCAAAGAAAUUGAGGAGAUAGUUUUGGCAAGGGCUGAAGUGUUGCGUGCUGAAGGGGAAGAUAGCUUAUUAUCUUUUAUUAAUUGCUUGCUAUUGUACAUUUGUUUGUUUGUUUAAAGGAGAGAGUUUUGGCAAGGACUGAAGUGUUGCGCGUGCUGAAGGGGAAGAUCAGAUUACGAUGCAAUCUUUCUCGAGCUUUUUAGGAGGGUUAAGAAAAGGAAAGUUUUGGAGCAGGGCAAGCGACAAGCUUGUAUUUUCCAUUUGCUACCAACUCAGCUGCGGGCUCUGCAUCUUCCGGCUUGUCUGGCCUUAGCACUGAGGUUGAUAAGCUUCUCGAGCGACGAGUAUAGCCAUUGCAUCAAGAGAUCGAAGAAUUGCGGGAGCUAGUAAAGGUCCUCAGUCAGCAAGUUCAAGAGUCUAGAAGAAGUUGCUAGUAGUAUUUGAACUAAAUUUUGGGAGCUAGUGGUAUUUGAACUAAAUUGUGGGAGCUAGUAGGAUUUAAAUUAAAGUAUAAAACAAUAUUUUGUAUCUAUGUAAAAUUUGAAUUUUCUCAUUCAAUUGAGCUAUUUCAUACUA